This 217-nucleotide long non-coding RNA is filed under the name Mytilus galloprovincialis (Mediterranean mussel). The record is from RNAcentral. Lineage: Eukaryota; Metazoa; Mollusca; Bivalvia; Mytilida; Mytilidae.
GUCUAAAAUUUAACUAAAAUGCUAGAAUUUUGAAGAUUUCGGUAAUUUAGCAUGACUUAAUGGCGCUACAACCCGAUAUAUGUGCAUUGUAUAGUCAAAAACAGCCCAUAUUUAUGUGGCAGAACCAUUCAACUGUCCAAUAAAUAACUAAAAGUUUACAUUUUAACAAUUUUGUAAAACUGUUAUAUUUUGGGGCCAAAAAGGGGUCUUACCGGAC